AAGCCUUGUAUCAUUAUCGUCAGACACAAGUCCAGAGAGAGCCUGACAAUGGCUUUGAUGCUGUGAAAGGGAAAACUUCAAACGGCUACAGGAGAAAGCGCCACUUUCAAGGUCCACUUCAGGAAAUGAGCAACGGACUCUAUCCGAAUAGGUCACAGGCAGAAUCAUGAAAAGAUGGGACUCUAUGCCUCACAUUAUAAUGGCGGAAACGAGAAAAUGGGGAACAUGCAAACACAAGCAUGACUGUCAUUUCCAUGAAUAAGCAAAGCAAAGCAUUGUUUUAAAAAUAGCACAUUUCAUACACAAGCCCAAGAUGUACCCGACCCCUGUGCAACUGGCUGCUGGACCUUUUGAC
Molecule: long non-coding RNA, 355 nt
Organism: Syngnathoides biaculeatus (alligator pipefish)
Lineage: Eukaryota; Metazoa; Chordata; Actinopteri; Syngnathiformes; Syngnathidae
Exons: 3
Source: RefSeq, a predicted model, not a curated record